UGGCGGCACGCCUAAACAUGCAAGUCGAACGCAGUAGCAAUACUGAGUGGCAAACGGGUGAGUAUAAUGUGGGAAUCUGCCUUUUGGUUUGGAAUAACACGAGGAAACUUGUGCUAAUACCGGAUAAGCCUUCACAGGGAAAGUUUUAUACGCCAAAAGAUGAGCCCGCACUUGAUUAGCUAGUUGGUGAGGUAAUAGCUCACCAAGGCAACGAUCAAUAGCUGUUCUUAGAGGAAGACCAGCCACAUUGGGACUGAGACACGGCCCAGACUCCUACGGGAGGCAGCAGUGGGCAAUCUUGCAC
RNAcentral lists this ribosomal RNA (304 nucleotides) under uncultured Alphaproteobacteria bacterium. Its description in RNAcentral is "bacterial SSU rRNA". It matches the Rfam family "Bacterial small subunit ribosomal RNA", at positions 37 to 369 of the family's 1533-position model. The record is from RNAcentral. Lineage: Bacteria; Pseudomonadati; Pseudomonadota; Alphaproteobacteria.